GACGAACGCUGGCGGCGUGCUUAACACAUGCAAGUCGAACGGAAAGGCCUUUUCGGAGGUACUCGAGUGGCGAACGGGUGAGUAACACGUGGGUGAUCUGCCCUGCACUCUGGGAUAAGCCUGGGAAACUGGGUCUAAUACCGGAUAGGACCGCACUUUAGUGUGUGUGGUGGAAAGUUUUUUCGGUGUAGGAUGAGCCCGCGGCCUAUCAGCUUGUUGGUGGGGUAAUGGCCUACCAAGGCGGCGACGGGUAGCCGGACUGAGAGGUUGGUCGGCCACAUUGGGACUGAGAGACGGCCCAGACGCCUACGGGAGGCAGCAGUGGGGAAUAUUGCACAAUGGGCGCAAGCCUGAUGCAGCGACGCCGCGUGGGGGAGGACGGCCUUCGGGUUGUAAACUCCUUUCGCCAGGGACGAAGCGUUUUGUGACGGUACCUGGAGAAGAAGCACCGGCUAACUACGUG
This 463-nucleotide ribosomal RNA is filed under the name uncultured bacterium. RNAcentral's name for it is "partial 16S ribosomal RNA". It matches the Rfam family "Bacterial small subunit ribosomal RNA", at positions 28 to 507 of the family's 1533-position model. The record is from RNAcentral.